RNAcentral lists this RNase P RNA (394 nucleotides) under Pseudomonadota bacterium. RNAcentral's name for it is "Proteobacteria bacterium (gut metagenome) RNase P RNA component class A". It matches the Rfam family "Bacterial RNase P class A". From Rfam's summary of the family: Ribonuclease P (RNase P) is a ubiquitous endoribonuclease, found in archaea, bacteria and eukarya as well as chloroplasts and mitochondria. Its best characterised activity is the generation of mature 5'-ends of tRNAs by cleaving the 5'-leader elements of precursor-tRNAs. The record is from RNAcentral. Lineage: Bacteria; Pseudomonadati; Pseudomonadota.
GAAGGCGGACAUGUAGUCGCUGCCUGAGGCAGACGUGCCAAAGGGAGAGGAAAGUCCGGGCUCCUCGAGGAAGGAUGAUCGCUAACGGCGACCGAGGGCAACCUUAGGGAAAGUGCCACAGAAAACAAACCGCCAUGACCUCGGUUAUGGUAAGGGUGAAACGGCGGAGUAAGAGCCCACCGGUGUGUUGGUGACAACAUACGCUAGGUAAACCCCAUCCGGAGCAAGAUCGAACAAAAGUUGCUGCCUUAUCGGCAGCCGGGCAUCCUCGCCCGUUCCUUUGGGUUAUGAUCGCUUGAGCUUGCAGGCAACUGAAAGCCUAGAUGAAUGACUACACUGCUGCAUCCCAAUGAUGCUGCACGACAAAACCCGGCUUAUCGUCCGCACUUCAACC